UGAGUUUCUCCUAGAUGACUCCUGGCAUC
RNAcentral lists this non-coding RNA (29 nucleotides) under Mus musculus (house mouse). Lineage: Eukaryota; Metazoa; Chordata; Mammalia; Rodentia; Muridae. The record is from RNAcentral.